This 774-nucleotide ribosomal RNA is filed under the name uncultured Neocallimastigales. RNAcentral describes it as "partial large subunit ribosomal RNA". It matches the Rfam family "Eukaryotic large subunit ribosomal RNA", at positions 24 to 646 of the family's 3401-position model. Lineage: Eukaryota; Fungi; Neocallimastigomycota; Neocallimastigomycetes; Neocallimastigales. The record is from RNAcentral.
UAUCUCUGUAGAGUCUGCAUAUCAAUAAGCGGAGGAAAAGAAACUAACAAGGAUUCCCUUAGUAACGGCGAGUGAAGCGGGAAGAGCUCAAAUUUGAAAUCUUCAAGGUUCUACCUAGACGAAUUGUAGUUUAUAGAAGUGUUUUCUGUUAGUGGAGUGGCAAAAGUUCUUUGGAAUAGGACAUCAUAGAGGGUGAGAAUCCCGUAUUUGGUCAUUCCUCCUAGCUUUGUGAUACACUUUCAACGAGUCGGAUUGUUUGGGAAUGCAGUCCAAAAUGGGUGGUAAAUUUCAUCUAAAGCUAAAUAUUGGCGAGAGACCGAUAGCGAACAAGUACCAUGAGGGAAAGAUGAAAAGAACUCUGAAAAGAGAGUUAAACAGUACGUGAAAUUGUCAAAAGGGAAGCGUUUGACACCAGUGUUGUUUUUCCGAAAAUCAAUUACGAAUGUUUUAUUUUUGAGGAGUUAUGACUUCAUCGGCUUGCUCCUUUCUUUAUGAAACUUUCUUAAUGCACUUUUCGGUUAACAAGUCAACAUCAAUUUCUUUUGUUGUAAAAGGGUAUGAGGAAGGUGGCUUUCUUUUCGGAGAAAGUGUUUAUAGCCUUGUGCCUCUGCAAUCGGAGAGAUUGAGGUCUGCAGCGUAGAUCCUUCGGGGUUAGAUACGUUUGUGCUAAGUUAUAGCUUUUCAUAGACAACUUGUUGACUAUGUUUAGUCUUGUAGCUUACUCGCUGACGCUAUUUUACCUACGCUUAGGAUGUUGAUGUGAUACUGCGAGCA